GCGGGUGUAGUUCAGUGGUAGAACACUAGCCUUCCAAGCUAGUCAUGUGGGUUCGAUUCCCAUCACCCGCUCCA
RNAcentral lists this transfer RNA (74 nucleotides) under Yeguia hominis. RNAcentral's name for it is "Clostridiales bacterium NSJ-40 tRNA-Gly". It matches the Rfam family "tRNA". Rfam says of the family: Transfer RNA (tRNA) molecules are approximately 80 nucleotides in length. Their secondary structure includes four short double-helical elements and three loops (D, anti-codon, and T loops). Further hydrogen bonds mediate the characteristic L-shaped molecular structure. tRNAs have two regions of fundamental functional importance: the anti-codon, which is responsible for specific mRNA codon recognition, and the 3' end, to which the tRNAs corresponding amino acid is attached (by aminoacyl-tRNA synthetases). tRNAs cope with the degeneracy of the genetic code in two manners: having more than one tRNA (with a specific anti-codon) for a particular amino acid; and 'wobble' base-pairing, i.e. permitting non-standard base-pairing at the 3rd anti-codon position. The record is from RNAcentral. Lineage: Bacteria; Bacillati; Bacillota; Clostridia; Eubacteriales; Yeguiaceae.